AGAGUUCGUUCCUGGCUCAGAUUGAACGCUGGCGGCAGGCCUAACACAUGCAAGUCGAGCGGUAGAGAGAAGCUUGCUUCUCUUGAGAGCGGCGGACGGGUGAGUAAUGCCUAGGAAUCUGCCUGGUAGUGGGGGAUAACGUUCGGAAACGGACGCUAAUACCGCAUACGUCCUACGGGAGAAAGCAGGGGACCUUCGGGCCUUGCGCUAUCAGAUGAGCCUAGGUCGGAUUAGCUAGUUGGUGAGGUAAUGGCUCACCAAGGCGACGAUCCGUAACUGGUCUGAGAGGAUGAUCAGUCACACUGGAACUGAGACACGGUCCAGACUCCUACGGGAGGCAGCAGUGGGGAAUAUUGGACAAUGGGCGAAAGCCUGAUCCAGCCAUGCCGCGUGUGUGAAGAAGGUCUUCGGAUUGUAAAGCACUUUAAGUUGGGAGGAAGGGCAGUAAAUUAAUACUUUGCUGUUUUGACGUUACCGACAGAAUAAGCACCGGCUAACUCUGUGCCAGCAGCCGCGGUAAUACAGAGGGUGCAAGCGUUAAUCGGAAUUACUGGGCGUAAAGCGCGCGUAGGUGGUUUGUUAAGUUGGAUGUGAAAUCCCCGGGCUCAACCUGGGAACUGCAUUCAAAACUGACUGACUAGAGUAUGGUAGAGGGUGGUGGAAUUUCCUGUGUAGCGGUGAAAUGCGUAGAUAUAGGAAGGAACACCAGUGGCGAAGGCGACCACCUGGACUAAUACUGACACUGAGGUGCGAAAGCGUGGGGAGCAAACGGGAUUAGAUACCCUGGUAGUCCACGCCGUAAACGAUGUCAACUAGCCGUUGGAAGCCUUGAGCUUUUAGUGGCGCAGCUAACGCAUUAAGUUGACCGCCUGGGGAGUACGGCCGCAAGGUUAAAACUCAAAUGAAUUGACGGGGGCCCGCACAAGCGGUGGAGCAUGUGGUUUAAUUCGAAGCAACGCGAAGAACCUUACCAGGCCUUGACAUCCAAUGAACUUUCUAGAGAUAGAUUGGUGCCUUCGGGAACAUUGAGACAGGUGCUGCAUGGCUGUCGUCAGCUCGUGUCGUGAGAUGUUGGGUUAAGUCCCGUAACGAGCGCAACCCUUGUCCUUAGUUACCAGCACGUAAUGGUGGGCACUCUAAGGAGACUGCCGGUGACAAACCGGAGGAAGGUGGGGAUGACGUCAAGUCAUCAUGGCCCUUACGGCCUGGGCUACACACGUGCUACAAUGGUCGGUACAGAGGGUUGCCAAGCCGCGAGGUGGAGCUAAUCCCACAAAACCGAUCGUAGUCCGGAUCGCAGUCUGCAACUCGACUGCGUGAAGUCGGAAUCGCUAGUAAUCGCGAAUCAGAAUGUCGCGGUGAAUACGUACACGGGCCUUGUACUCACCGCCCGUC
This 1395-nucleotide ribosomal RNA is filed under the name uncultured bacterium. RNAcentral describes it as "bacterial SSU rRNA". It matches the Rfam family "Bacterial small subunit ribosomal RNA". The record is from RNAcentral.